This is a long non-coding RNA of Mustela erminea (ermine), 233 nucleotides long. RefSeq lists it as uncharacterized. The record is from RefSeq and is a predicted model, not a curated record. Lineage: Eukaryota; Metazoa; Chordata; Mammalia; Carnivora; Mustelidae. The transcript is spliced from 2 exons.
UGAUGCAAUGGAGACAUGAGUCAGACCUGGGAUGGAUCCCACCCCUUGGUUCAUUUGCUAUAUACCUACCACUGGCAAGUCAUUAACCUCUCUGUGCCAGCUACCUUAUUCAUAAAAGGACAAAACCCCUUACCCAAAGGGUCAAGAUUAAACAACACCACUUUUACAAAUACAGGCUAGAAUGGGAUAUUAAGCACGCCUCGCAGAGGGAAUGAGCAAAGGCAAGUGAGAAU